UUGCAACCAAUUGAUUUUGCCUUGUCUUCCAGGCUUAUCUUUAUCCAGGUGGAAACUUGCUAUGGACAACGAAUGUGUGCAUUUCACAAGGAAUGGACCUAGGGAACUACUCCUUCUCCAUCUGGGUUUACACAAUUGAAAACCUUCUAUCCUAUCAGACAUCUGAACUCGGCAUGUUCUCCUUUUUUUUUUCCUUUUAUCUGUUGUUAGUCGUACUUUUUUUCUUUCCUGUCGCACAGUUCAAAUAACUUUAGUCAUAGCUUUUCCUAGAGCAGAAUAGCAUGCCUGAGUGCAAAAUGUGGAGAGUAUACAGCUUUUGUUCAUUGUUUCUUGAGAGUAUGGCAUAUGGUCAUUCUUACUAUUGCAUGCCUCAUUAACCGUAUUAGAGGAGUCCUAAAUGUUACAACUCCAUUCAAAGUCCUUCAGCCAGGUAGCUAUCACAUUUUUCAGUGGAAAUAUAACUUUGCGAUUGGUUCCAACCAAUGUUUUACAUAACUUUUAGCUUAGAUUAUAUUACUUUUUAGCAAAGAACAAAUGUCUAAAUUACAGUAAUUACUAGAAUAUUGAUUUGAAAUUUGUAAUUGGUGAUAAUUCUGAGGGAAAAUAUGAGAAUAGGAUUUCAUUAUGACUUAGCUGACAUAUAUAAGCCUUAACCAAUCAUAUAUUUAGACAAUUAUUGAUAAAAAUCUAUUAACCAAGCAUAUAUAAUUCUUGAUGAAUCACUGAUGCAGACCCUAGAUUACAAGUUCCAAAUAAACAACAAAGUUCGAUUCCUUCCUUAUUUCCAAUUCCAUUCUUGAAACCAAACACCAUAUUCAUUCCACAUUGUUUGUUAUUCAAAUUUGAAUAAAUUCAUGUAAGUGUGCACUCAAAAUAAAAAGAAUUUAUAAAGCAGCACAAGAAAAUCUAUUCACUGAAAAGGUGAUAGAGUUUUACCAUCCAGCUUAAGAAACCCCGACC
RNAcentral lists this long non-coding RNA (960 nucleotides) under Malus domestica (apple). RNAcentral's name for it is "long non-coding RNA (MDOM_LNC008754)". Lineage: Eukaryota; Viridiplantae; Streptophyta; Magnoliopsida; Rosales; Rosaceae. The record is from RNAcentral.